GCAUUGGUGGUUCAGUGGUAGAAUUCUUGCCUCUCAUGCUGGAGACCAGGGUUCAUUUCCCGGCCAAUGCA
This is a non-coding RNA of Cricetulus griseus (Chinese hamster), 71 nucleotides long. The record is from Rfam. NCBI's taxonomy places the organism in Eukaryota, Metazoa, Chordata, Mammalia, Rodentia, Cricetidae.